GACGAACGCUGGCGGCGUGCUUAACACAUGCAAGUCGAACGGAAAGGCCCUGCUUUUGUGGGGUGCUCGAGUGGCGAACGGGUGAGUAACACGUGAGUAACCUGCCCUUGACUUUGGGAUAACUUCAGGAAACUGGGGCUAAUACCGGAUAGGAGCUCCAGCUGCAUGGUGGGGGUUGGAAAGCUUCGGCGGUUGGGUCCGGACUCGCGCAUUAUCAGCUUGUUGGUGGGGUAGUGGCUUACCAAGGCUUUGACGGGUAGCCGGCCUGAGAGGGUGACCGGCCACAUUGGGACUGAGAUACGGCCCAGACUCCUACGGGAGGCAGCAGUAGUGAAUAUUGCACAGUGGGCGGAAGCCUGAUGCAGCACAGCGGCGUGCGGGAUGACGGCCUUCGGGUUGUAAACCGCUUUCGCCUGUGACGAAGCGUGAGUGACGGUAAUGGGUAAAGAAGCACCGGCUAACUACGUG
This 468-nucleotide ribosomal RNA is filed under the name uncultured bacterium. Its description in RNAcentral is "partial 16S ribosomal RNA". It matches the Rfam family "Bacterial small subunit ribosomal RNA", at positions 28 to 507 of the family's 1533-position model. The record is from RNAcentral.